Molecule: long non-coding RNA, 445 nt
Filed under: Nicotiana benthamiana
Lineage: Eukaryota; Viridiplantae; Streptophyta; Magnoliopsida; Solanales; Solanaceae
Description: long non-coding RNA (NBEN_LNC025402)
Source: RNAcentral
CCCAUCGCUUUAAGCCCGGCGGCGCCAGCUCUGAUGACCACCAACAUAACUCCCCUUAACCACCUCAACCUCCCCUUUCCAAAUCCCUAAUCAUCUUCCCUCGAAUCCCAACCAGGCUCUACAAAUCUUUGAUCGAAAGUUGGCUAAACCCUAAACCUACCCUAUCAGCCCAUAAAUCACACCCCACAACCACCUUGACAACCUCAUACACAAUCCACCAUUGUUUUUCCUCAAGUAUUACUACAUCCUCUCGAACCUCAAAUCUGAGUUCGAGCCUUAAAGUUUCGAAAUUAAUUCUCAAUGAAUCGACUCAAGACUGUGUUCCUAUAACAAGAAUAUUCGACUCACGACAUAAACUAAUACUGGUAAGUUUUUCUUAACAAGAAAAAAUGAUUAGUCUCAGUUCCUUGUAAGUCAAGACGCCAAGUGAAUUCACAGUCGAAUC